Girardinichthys multiradiatus is the source of this 1431-nucleotide long non-coding RNA. RefSeq lists it as uncharacterized. The record is from RefSeq and is a predicted model, not a curated record. Lineage: Eukaryota; Metazoa; Chordata; Actinopteri; Cyprinodontiformes; Goodeidae. The transcript has 2 exons.
UGCGUAUGCUGAGCUGCAUCGAGCUCAGACAGAGACGGACUGAGAAGCAAAAACACUGAGUGGAGUGGAUACGGUGGGCAUAAUCUGACGACAGAAUCCAAACAAUUUCAGGCCUCUAUUCGACAUUUUUUGACAGGCUUCAUCCAUCAAGCAGAGAAGACCGACAUGACUAGCAUCAGACAGGAAAUAAUUUAUACACAAAACCUCAAGUACGCCCUGAAAGUGUGAUGGUUUUAAGAUAAGAUAAAAGGAGUGUCACAACAGCAUCCCUUGAAUUUUAAAAGCAAUUUUGUUGGACUUCUGGUGCUUGUUCCUCUUUAGCUCUCUGAACUUACUCAGAAGGAUAUUUUUUCUUCUUGCUAAGGAGGUCUGUGCAAAUAUUUGUAGACCAUGUUUGGCAGCUAUGAGAGAUGGAGGACACCUUAAGACAAGCUUGUUUAAACUCUGACCUUUUACUUUAUCUUCUGGUUUGAUGGUGAAGUGUCAGCUUUUUGAUUACUGGCGGCAUAUAAGUCAAUUUAGUGCAGCUUUGCUUGUUAACGUAACCCUUGUGGUGCACCUCAGUUUACUCUUGCAACAGUUUGUUGUUCUCUGCCUUUUAGAGAAGGGAAUAUAUGUUCAUACUUCAGAAAAACACUCGCAGGCAUUGCAGCCUGCAGUUAAUCAACCAUUUCACAGUUCAGUAAAAUGAGCUUAGCUUUCCAUGCAUAUAUCUUGCUUAAAAGUAUAUUUUCACUGUAAACAAGCAUGAAUGGGAGGAGAUAAAAUAUCUAUAUUCAACAAACAUGACUAAAACAAACAAAAAACUCAAAUAUAUUUUUGAAUACUAGAUCAAAAAGUGGUUGUUUUUUGCAAAUUACUAAUUGGAGAUUUAGUAAUUUUAUGGGUUAAAUUUGUAUCAAACUACUUAAAACUUUACAUUUAAGAACUUAAUAUGAUAUUUAUAUUAAGUCAAAAUAUGCUGAAUUUUAGACCAUGUAAAUAUAUCUAUGAUUAGGUCAUAAGUAUCAGCGUCUCUGUUUUUUACUUCCUGACCAUCCUGUUGCUUCCUGACUCAGGAUGAGUUUGUACUGUGACCUGUGUUAGUGUUAGUAUACCUGUAUCAUCUGUUUACACGCACCAUGGGCUGCGUCAUGUGUUCCCAAUUGGUUGAUAUGUGGACCGUGAGGGCAAGAAGGACGGGCCGCAGGGCUGUGGAGCUCAAUUCCUGCCAGCAGAUGCUCAGCGGAGGCUAUCACAGAGUGACCGGUCUCCACUACAUGUCGUCCUUCUCCGACGCCGAAGACUGCUGCGAUGACACCAGCUCAAGCAGCUCGCUCACACUGGACUGGCAGCUUCAGGGAGCUGAUGGCUGAGAUUCUUCCAGUAAGAGUUAAAUGUAAUGAUUUAAAAUGCAAUGUAUUUACAAUAAAAAUGUUUCCUAAAUUGUGA